RNAcentral lists this long non-coding RNA (1307 nucleotides) under Macaca mulatta (Rhesus monkey). RNAcentral describes it as "lncRNA (ENSMMUG00000056171.1)". Lineage: Eukaryota; Metazoa; Chordata; Mammalia; Primates; Cercopithecidae. The record is from RNAcentral.
AUGUAUUUAACAAUAUUAUAAACCGAUAGCUGAAAUCCAAAUAUUGUGCGCUUAGAUAGCCUUUCAGGGUCACAAUAUCACUAGAAUAGAAUCUUUGACCUAUACAGUAUAACUAAAUUUUGACAAUACUUCAAAAUUUUUAGGCAGUUUACUUUAUGGAUUCGUGGUUGUUAUAUGUAUCUAGUAUGAUUUUAAAAUAUAGAUCAUUUACUAAAGCAUAUUUGAUAAUGUAAACUCUAUUUCAAGCAAUUUGGUUUCCACUUUCUGUUUCCCUCAACAGUCUAAGACAGAAGAAAACUGCAGAAGAUUGCUACCCAUUCAAGUAGAAAAACUCAAGCUGGAAAAUUAACAGCACAGCUGGAAAGGCUAAUGAACUUAGCAUUUAAAAAUGCUUGUAGAGCUGCCAGAUCUACCCCUUGAUCCCAGAGGAAUAAGAAGACCAGCCUGGAAACAGAGAGAGACCCUGUAUCUAAGAAAAAAAAAAAAAAAAAAAAAAACAACUAUUAGCCAGGCAUGGUGAUGCAUGCCUGCAGUCUCAGCUACUCUGGAGGCUGAGGAGGGAGGAUUGCUUAAGCCCAGGAAUUCAAGGCUGCAGUAAACCGUGAUCUCACCACUGCAUUUAAGCCUGGGCAACAGAGUAAGACCUUGCCUUUUAAAAAAGGGAUGUGAAAACAUUAUUAAUAUUUACUUACCUUAGCAAGGUUUUCUAUCCUAAUGCAGAAAUCAAUAUUAUGUUAACCUCUCUUCAAUUACAAAAGAACUAUUAAAUAAGCCAAAAUUUUCUGAAAGUCAAUCUCCAUUUAGUAGUUUUCUUAAAGAAUUGAUUAAUGGCCAAUAUAAUAAAAUAUUUUUCUUUGGGCUGGAAAAAUUCUGUUAAACCAUUCAAUUUCAUGCCAAUAAAGCAGUGUUUAGACAAAUGUUAUAAUUGAACUGGAUAAGUAUUAAUUCGAUUCAGAUUUGCUAGGACCAGCCAAGCAACCAGUAUUUGCUAGUCUGUUGCAAUAAAACCUGAGCAUUAAGUUUUCUGUUCAUGUUGUCACCAGGUUAUAUCCUCAGAGAUCUGUCCUUGGACAAUUAAAUAAAAGCCAUUUAGCAAUUAGUCCAUGAAGGUGUUAAAAUUGUCUUAUAGUUCACUAGUUAUACUUUGAUGUUGCCAACUUCUAUUAAAUAGAUCAAGGUUGAGGCAGUAGGGAAGGAAGAAUGUUUUAAUGGAGACUUUAUUGCAACUGAGAAUUACAAAAGAUGAAGAAAAGUUUAAGCUUAUUUAAUAAUGGUAAUAACAUAAAGUCUGAUAUUUAAAUGUCUUU